Molecule: ribosomal RNA, 401 nt
Filed under: uncultured bacterium
Lineage: Bacteria
Description: bacterial SSU rRNA
Rfam family: Bacterial small subunit ribosomal RNA
Source: RNAcentral
GGGGAAUCUUGCACAAUGGGGGAAACCCUGAUGCAGCGACGCCGCGUGAACGAUGAAGCCCUUCGGGGUGUAAAGUUCUUUCGACAGGAACGAUAAUGACGGUACCUGGAGAAGAAGCUGCGGCUAACUACGUGCCAGCAGCCGCGGUAAUACGUAGGCAGCGAGCGUUGUUCGGAGUUACUGGGCGUAAAGAGUGCGUAGGCGGCGAGCCAAGUUUGGUGUGAAAUCUCCCGGCUUAACCGGGAGGGUGCGCCGAAAACUGGUUGGCUGGAGUAUGGGAGAGGAAAGCGGAAUUCCUGGUGUAGCGGUGAAAUGCGUAGAUAUCAGGAGGAACACCUGCGGUGUAGACAGCUUUCUGGACCAAAACUGACGCUGAGGCACGAAAGCGUGGGUAGCAAACA